RNAcentral lists this transfer RNA (72 nucleotides) under Marmota monax (woodchuck). Its description in RNAcentral is "tRNA.Ala". The record is from RNAcentral. Lineage: Eukaryota; Metazoa; Chordata; Mammalia; Rodentia; Sciuridae.
GGGGUUGUGGCUGCAGAGGUAGAGCACUCGCUUAGCAUGAGUGAGGCACUGGGUUCGAUCCUCAGCACCACA